UGUUGGCGAUGGUUUACUUUAUUUAAUGACUAAAUGUGGACUAUCAGGACAAUAUUAUGACUGAAAUAGAGAGGAGUGACCAUCACCAAGUGAUCCUGGACUUGGAGCUGGAUGCAGGAACUGAUGAGACUUUGGAUCUCCCCUUUUGGGGAGGUUAACAUUACUUGGUGUCAGAAGCGGGAUCCGAAGACGAACCCCUGAAGAAUUAAUGAUCCCUGGAAUCAUGCACGGUACCCACUUGAUCCCCUUGUGCUCCCCACUUCCAUUUGGUUCGGAGCUGCUCUGUGAAUUUUGGGUUAAAGGAUCUGUGGAACAAGAAUAAACAAACCAGCGCCCGAAGAUUGGACCUACUUCAUUAGCAUGUUGCCUAAAAAGUGAGUUUGGCACAGUGUGGGAAUAGAGGAUGUGGAGAGCCAAACUGCUCUGCAUUACUGGGGGUGAACACACAGUUGGACCGUUCAGGGGCAAUCAGGGAGAGAGGUGGUGCAGAGAGAGAAAUGCGAAGGAAGGGAAGAGGAAUAAUCAGCAAGAAGGCGAAAGGUCCAGAGAUGUACUGAAGGCAGGUGCCUCCUGGAAUUUUCAAGAAGGGUGCUGUGUGAUACAUGCUUUAAAUUUGCUUGUUUGCAGUGCAGCAGUAAAAUCCUCCACUUAUGACCUUCAGUAAAAAAAACACAAGAGCUUGAAAUGAAGGUGGGACUGGGUUGGGGAUAAUCUAGGAGGAAAAAAAAAGCUAAGAAGUAGAGAACAGACAUUCAGUAUAAUUUGAAAUAGAAAUAAGCAUAGAACAUAAGUUCCCCCAGGAACAUGAAGAGGUCCUGGGCAGGCAUUCCAGAGUGUACAGAACAGGAGGUUGAACCAAUUUUAUGGACCUUAAGGGACAGGGUGACCUAAGAUAAUAUGCGGAUAAGGAACAUAAAAGACUUGGGGAAAACAACAAAAUAAGUUCUUAGCAUGAUCUGAGGAGUCAGGACAAAUAUCUAAAUAAUUCAA
This is a non-coding RNA of Delphinapterus leucas (beluga whale), 990 nucleotides long. The record is from RefSeq and is a predicted model, not a curated record. Lineage: Eukaryota; Metazoa; Chordata; Mammalia; Artiodactyla; Monodontidae.